This is a long non-coding RNA of Rhinolophus ferrumequinum (greater horseshoe bat), 357 nucleotides long. RefSeq lists it as uncharacterized. NCBI's taxonomy places the organism in Eukaryota, Metazoa, Chordata, Mammalia, Chiroptera, Rhinolophidae. The record is from RefSeq and is a predicted model, not a curated record. The transcript has 3 exons.
GCUGGGCUGGGCUGCCCGUGUGACCCCCAGGCCAGUCUCUGGGGCCUGGACUCCACCAGCCCUGGGGCAUGUGCUGACCCAGGAUCGCUCACUGAAGCCCACUGUGUACAGCAGUGCCACCAGCGGCUGUUCCCUGACAGUGGGUGGCCCGCACUGGUGGGACAGGCUUGUGCCAGGCCCCAGGAGGAGACAGCCCACCCUCCCAGUUGCCCAGGUGCCCAGUUGGGGCAGUCAGAGCAGUGGACGUCUGAAGUUGCAGGCGUGUUCCCUGUCACCACCUGUCCUUCCUUCUGCCCCCGAGCAACCACCUGCCCGCUGCCUCUGAGUCCUGAGGACACCACACGAAGGUGCGGUGCA